Molecule: non-coding RNA, 30 nt
Filed under: Mus musculus (house mouse)
Lineage: Eukaryota; Metazoa; Chordata; Mammalia; Rodentia; Muridae
Source: RNAcentral
ACAUCGAAACUUGCCUCUUCCCCUGGGUGU